AAAUUAUUUGGGCUUGAAGGAGAUAGUAGUAAGCUCAUUAAUUAAGAGGCUCAAUAAAAUAGCCUACUAAUUAAUCAAGAAUGACGUGAAUUAAUAUACUGCAAUUGUCUCAAAAGAAUAAUGGAGGAGUCCAAACAAUAAUUAAUGUGGGCUGGAAAGAAUUAAUCUUAGUUAAAUAAACAAUUAAAUCGGCCCAAAUGAAACAAUAACCGGCCCAACAAUAUACAUAUGGGAUUUGGAAAUAGAAUAAUAUCUCAGCCCCUUUCUUUUUAAAACAAUUACAGCCCAAACUUUAAAAUAAUUCGGCCCAAAUCAUAAGGGAAAUGGC
RNAcentral lists this long non-coding RNA (328 nucleotides) under Salvia miltiorrhiza (redroot sage). RNAcentral's name for it is "long non-coding RNA (SMIL_LNC001784)". Lineage: Eukaryota; Viridiplantae; Streptophyta; Magnoliopsida; Lamiales; Lamiaceae. The record is from RNAcentral.